AAAGCUGCAGCAACUACCUCUAGGAAAGCUGAUAUAGAGAAGAAGAAGCAUGAAGCGAUCGAAGCUCGGAAAGUGGAGCAGGAAUCACUUAAAGAACAAGAGACACUUAUUCCACAGGAGCAGGCAGCCAG
Non-coding RNA from Camelina sativa (false flax), 131 nucleotides. Lineage: Eukaryota; Viridiplantae; Streptophyta; Magnoliopsida; Brassicales; Brassicaceae. The record is from RefSeq and is a predicted model, not a curated record.